CAUCACUUCCGAUUCUGAUGACGUAGGUCGUCCUCCUCGGUUCCUGUUUAAGGUUCCUCCAUUCAAAGAGAUAACUGUCCGUAAAAAGAUAACGCGUUAGUAAUUUAUUUUGUAGGUCGCAUAAACCGUAACUGGUGAAGAAAGCUUUCAUUAUAGACCGUUAUGGAGACUACCGGAAACUCUCACAAGAAACCGAAGCUGAGCAACGCGUCAAGCGAGAAUUGGGGAAUGCAGAGGGCGACUAAUGUGACCUACCAGGCUCACCAUGUCAGCAGGAACAAGCGUGGUCAGGUGGUGGGGACGAGAGGAGGCUUCCGUGGAUGCACUGUCUGGCUCACAGGUUUGUCUGGGGCUGGGAGAAGACCACGGUGAGCAUGCCCUGG
Long non-coding RNA from Coregonus clupeaformis (lake whitefish), 383 nucleotides. RefSeq lists it as uncharacterized. The transcript has 3 exons. Lineage: Eukaryota; Metazoa; Chordata; Actinopteri; Salmoniformes; Salmonidae. The record is from RefSeq and is a predicted model, not a curated record.